Molecule: long non-coding RNA, 207 nt
Filed under: Brassica rapa (field mustard)
Lineage: Eukaryota; Viridiplantae; Streptophyta; Magnoliopsida; Brassicales; Brassicaceae
Description: long non-coding RNA (BRAP_LNC005863)
Source: RNAcentral
AAUGCCUUCUACGUAUAUGGCAUACUAAUGUUAUGUAGAGAAGAAAUGAAUAUCAGGAAAAGAUAUUUACACAAAUUAGAAUGCCGACAAUGUAAAGCUAGGAGUGUUCAAUUUUGGCAACAUUAUGUUCAACAUGCAAGUCUAAUGCAAAAUAUUAAACACUUUACCACCACUAUACAAAUCUAAAAUUGAUCAUCUACAAUCAGA